GGACUUGCACAAGUAGUGGAUUAUGUGGUUUAAUUCGACGAUAAACGAAGAACCUUACCAAGGUUGGAAAUUCAUCUGAAAGCUCCGAGAAACCGGAGCCCUCGCAAGACAGGUGGACAGGUGAUGCAUGGCCGUCGUCAGUUCGUGGUUUGAAUUGUUCCCUUAAGUGGGGUAACGAACGCAACCCUCAUCGUGUGUUAUAAGUGUCACACGAGACUGCCCCAACCAAAGUGGAUAAUUAUUUAAUAAUUGUACAUUUCGGUUGGGGAGGAAGGAGAGGAUGACGCCAGGUCAGCAUGUCCCUUUGAUACCUUGGGCUACACACAUAAUACAAUCGCAUCUACAACGGGCAGCGACGGGGUAACCCUGAGCGAAUCCUAAGAAAAGAUGCGUCAGUUCGGAUUGGGGGCUGCAACUCGACCCCAUGAAGUUGGAAUUACUAGUAAUCGCGGGUCAGACAUACCGCGGUGAAUACGUUCUCAAGUCUU
Molecule: ribosomal RNA, 488 nt
Filed under: uncultured bacterium
Lineage: Bacteria
Description: bacterial SSU rRNA
Rfam family: Bacterial small subunit ribosomal RNA
Source: RNAcentral